GGGAGCAGAUGCCCCGCAAGCUUCUGCCCACCAGACUCGCGGAAGUUGGACUGGCGUGGGCAGGAAACCGGACGCCUGGGGCCCUGGCCUCUCCCAGAAGCGCACCGCCCAGUUUUCAGAUACUAGCCAAAUAUUUCUCAUUAGGAGGAUGGAUUGGAAAAGCAGUGGCGAGCGAUGAAAUGCCUCGAGCAUUUUUGUAUUGAUUUGCCCGGAGUAGGUAAACACAUUAAGUUAAAAACUGCCCAGUUCCAUCUCAGAGGCCAGGAAAUGCUGGAAAGUGAACUCAGCUGCUGAGCACAAGUGACUGGAGAGACAGUUUCCAGGUGAGCAUACAAAGUAACGGCUUUCACCAUGGCAUCUUAAAAGUAUUUUAAUUACACUUGUGUGUGUGUGUGUGUGUGUGUGUGUGUGUGUGUGUGCGCGCCCCACAGUGAGCUCAGAGGGCAGUUUAUAUGAGUCAGGUUGCUCCCAUUAUGCGAGUGGGGGUGGGGCUGAACAUGGGUCAUUCGGCGCAGUGGCAAGCAUCUUUACUGGCAGAGCCAUCUCGCCAGCCCUACCAUGGAACCUUCCUAUGUAAAUAUCAUUAUACUUUGUUUUCCUUGUUCCCUCCCCCAUUUUCUCCCCUCCACUCCCACCAACAGGUCUCACUAAGUAGUUCUGGCUGAUUUGGCAGUUACUGCCUCAACUGGGAUGGACUCAAAUCUACCUAUCUCUUUUAGGUCCUGGAAUUAAAAGUAUGCAGCAUGCUGGAUGAUAGUGGUGCACACCUUUAAACCCAGCACUCAGGAGGCAGAGCAAGCAGGUGGAGAAACCCUGUCUCAAAGGGGGAAGAAAGUUUAUUGUUUUGAUGAGUUUUCAUGGGAGCUUAUGGGCCUGCUUCCGAGAAACCACAGAGAAAGGCAGAAGGCAACCGCUUUGAAAGGGUCAUUGGCUCACAAAGGGGUCGUGACCCACACACAGGCUGAGCACCAUUGUCUCGUAGACCAUGUGGGCGGCGAAUGCGUUCACUCUUUCAACCAGCACAGCAAGCAAAGUCUCCCCAGUAA
Non-coding RNA from Myodes glareolus (Bank vole), 1046 nucleotides. NCBI's taxonomy places the organism in Eukaryota, Metazoa, Chordata, Mammalia, Rodentia, Cricetidae. The record is from RefSeq and is a predicted model, not a curated record.